This 1066-nucleotide long non-coding RNA is filed under the name Calidris pugnax (ruff). Its description in RNAcentral is "lncRNA (ENSCPUG00000017257.1)". Lineage: Eukaryota; Metazoa; Chordata; Aves; Charadriiformes; Scolopacidae. The record is from RNAcentral.
ACACCCGUGCACUGAAGAAACACCGGUGAAGGCGUGAUCCAUCCCAGCGGCACAGGCAAAUAUGAAGUUCUUCUGGCUAAUCCCAUUUUUCCUGCUGCAAGACGCUGCAGCUUUUCUGAUGAAAAAUGCUAAAUUCAAGCUGUGUUUACGAGCCAGCGUGGUAGGUGAGAGUUUGCUGCUGGAGGACUGUGAUCCAGAGUCAGUUUUCCAGGACUGGUCUUGGCAAGGAGAUUCUCUGCUGAAUCGUGGCACUCAGAGCUGCCUCUCCCUGGUGGGGUCCAACGGGGUGCAGAUGGGUCUCUGCGACAGAACGAGCUACAUGAGCUGGGACUGCUCGAAUUCGCUGCUCUCUCCUCUGGGUGGCAGCCAGAGCUACCUGGUGGCCAACAAGAAAGGAGUCACCCUCAGUAACGUGAGGAACCUCAAGGCCCAAUGGCAAGAUGCGGCAGACAGGAGCGUCUGCGAGGUGAAAGCAGCUGAGGCAGAGCCAGACAGGUACUUCACCGCAGCGCUUGUCAGCACACACACCUAUGACCCCAUAGCAGGGAACAUCACCCUUGCGCUGGGUAUGGAUGGAGCAGAGCUGGAGGAGCUGCUCUGGUUCUUCCGCAGAGAAGACCCCUCGACGUGGAAUUACUCCGUCCUUGCGCUUUCCUUCGUGGCCAUGAUUUUGGGUCUCGUCCUCCUGGCCCUUAACAUUGUGCGAAACAGGAAAAGGAAGAUCCACGCCUACGGAGGAGCAGAGCAAAUGGUCCAGCAGGAUGAGCUGGAAGCCAAGCAAGCCCUGAUGCCCGUGCAGGAGUACAGCCCAGCCCAACUGCAAAAGCAGGAGCCGGUGCCCCAGGAUCAUAGAUCAGGAGACGUGAUGGUCCAGUGGAAGGACGGGACCGUCACCUCCCUGUACACAGCGAGGUCUGAGGACGCCGUGUAACGGCAGCUGACGUCAAACCAUUUAGGCCUUAAGGAAUGUGUCAGAACGUCUCAAUUCGGAGUGAUGGAAGUUUAAAAAUGCAGUUUAGCCUGGGGAAAAAAAGAGAGAGAAUAAAAAGAAAGCAGCAGAGCUGCA